Entelurus aequoreus (snake pipefish) is the source of this 689-nucleotide long non-coding RNA. RefSeq lists it as uncharacterized. NCBI's taxonomy places the organism in Eukaryota, Metazoa, Chordata, Actinopteri, Syngnathiformes, Syngnathidae. The transcript is spliced from 5 exons. The record is from RefSeq and is a predicted model, not a curated record.
CAUCUUUUUUGGGAACAAAUUAUUUUAAUUUGAUAUAUUCUGGCACUGUUGUUGUGUAUUUUAAUCCUAUAUUUGUGAUGUUGGCCGAGAAAGAGCACUGAAAAUGUAGCCCGCUACAUUAGCAUCUCGAACUAUCUAUCUAGCUAGCUAGUUAGUUAGUUAGUUAGCUAGUUAGUUCUUGUCAGGUGACACAAUUAAAAAGCCCCCUCUGCUGGUGCAUGACAGGAAAAUGGCACGGCAGAAUUUCAAUGCACUGUGUUUGUUUAUGGACCUGCAGCUCAUGUUUACGGUUCUAAAACAGACCAACCCUGAAGUGACACCGGAAUCAAAACACCGCCAUGUCCUGAUGGAUGUACUGCAGGCGUGACGCUGGCGCCUUCCAGAACAAUCUUGAAGAAGGAAAAGAUGUCACCAGUGAUUGGAUUACGUGUGGACAUGACACCACGUUGACCUGCUCUAACUUGAUGGUGACGCUGGAGAUCUCUUACGUCACGACACAGCCCACUGCCACGGUGACGUCGUCGUCCACACAGUUGUAUCCUUGCGUCGCCACAUGGAAGAUGUUGCACUCCACUGCUCCUUCUGCUGCACACAGCCAGGCUCGUUACCUCAGGGAGUCCAGGCUCAUUUGUCUUAUUUCUUUGUUUGUCUCUGUCCCUCCUCUUCUUCUUUAUUUUGCCCAACCAAUU